GAAAGCUGAUAGGACUAAUCUUUUUGGAGAAAUGAGGGAUAUUAUGUAACAACAGUGAUCAAUGGACGUUAAUAUCACCAAUAAAUA
This is a long non-coding RNA of Thalassophryne amazonica, 87 nucleotides long. RefSeq lists it as uncharacterized. The transcript has 3 exons. NCBI's taxonomy places the organism in Eukaryota, Metazoa, Chordata, Actinopteri, Batrachoidiformes, Batrachoididae. The record is from RefSeq and is a predicted model, not a curated record.